GAUAACGUUCAUAUCGAUAAGUUGGUGUGAACUUGACCUCAAAUGAUGCAUAAAAUUGUGAAAACUUUCAACUAAAUUCACGCAUAAAUAUGCGAAAUUUAACUCUAAUGUAUAAACUUUCACCAAACUUCACCGUGUUUAUAUUUAAACAAUGAUUUAGAUUCUGUAUGAAACAGUGUCUGAUUGUGAGGAAUAUUUGUUUUGACUUUUCGCUUAUAUUGAGACAGAUUGAGGCACGGACUCGACCAAACCGGUCAGCGGUCGCGACAAUAAUGCGAUCUCGUCUGCGUGUUCGUUUUAUACUUACUAACAUAUUUACAUUUACAUGGUCACCGCUUAUACUUGAACGUGAAUACAUUUGAGCCGUGCUUGGAUGCGCAAAAACAGAAAAAGUCCGAUUCGCGAGCUCGAUUACAAAUUGGAGGCCAGGAAGUACAGUUUACGCGCAUGAUUAUGGGAUUCAAGUUUACUGACGCAGUCAGUAUUACGAAUUUUGUUAAUGGCUGACGUCUUUCAGUCGCCAUAAAUGUGAUGCAUGCUAAUGACCAUCAACAAUGUUCGCACACUCACAUCUUUACAUGUGGACUCAAUUGAUAACGCCCGGAAUGAGAAACAAAGUAUUUCGAAUGCGUAAAUAUGGAAUACAUUUAUACAUUUAUAAUGAUCGUCGAUUUGCGGUUAUCGGUUCAUACAGUCUUAAGGACGCAAUCUGAAUUCAUUUCAUCAACACUUUCAACAGUGCCACACAUCAAUUACAUUGCAAUAACUUAUAAAACUAUAUUAUUGGAGCAAAAAAUUAUGUUUAGAGGCAGAUUAACUUAAAAUAAAGUGAUAUUGGGUAAAACGUGGGUAAAAUGUGCGCAGCCAUGACAGAAACUCCAUUUCUACUGAAAUCCGUUAACGAAUCAUGGGAAUGGGCGAAAAAUCCGCGUACUCAACAAAUGGUUAUCUCGAAUUGGCAAUGGAAUGUGCAUAAUAUUCAAUUUCGACCAGAUAACGACCCACAAGGGUACGCGGAUAGUGCAAAGCGUUUUGAACAUCCGUCACCUAUUGUCCCGGUUUUAGCCGUUGUGAUGUUAACAAUCACAGUAUUUCUGUUAAUACUUUUCCGGCAAAACCCCGGAUUGGUGGCGGGAACUGUAGCUGGAUGUUUGAUCAUCAUCAGUAUUUAUUUAACACUGAAUACUAUCAAGGAGAAUACGCUGACAUAUGAAUAAUUGAUAUUUUAGUUAUGUAGUCAUUUGAUAUUUUGUGUUCAUUCAACUGUUGUAAGUUGCAACAAAAUUAUUUGAAAUAAAUGAAAUUCGUGAUACUGUUACUUAUUAUCAUCGAAUAGAA
Molecule: long non-coding RNA, 1338 nt
Organism: Dalotia coriaria
Lineage: Eukaryota; Metazoa; Arthropoda; Insecta; Coleoptera; Staphylinidae
Exons: 3
Source: RefSeq, a predicted model, not a curated record